AGGAGCAUCUUCCAAUGGUAGGAUAGCGGUCUCCAAAACCGUCAAUGAGGGUUCGAAUCCUUCUGCUCCUG
Molecule: transfer RNA, 71 nt
Filed under: Eubacteriales bacterium
Lineage: Bacteria; Bacillati; Bacillota; Clostridia; Eubacteriales
Description: tRNA-Trp
Rfam family: tRNA
About the family: Transfer RNA (tRNA) molecules are approximately 80 nucleotides in length. Their secondary structure includes four short double-helical elements and three loops (D, anti-codon, and T loops).
Source: RNAcentral